This 1537-nucleotide ribosomal RNA is filed under the name Gorgoderina parvicava. RNAcentral describes it as "partial large subunit ribosomal RNA". It matches the Rfam family "Eukaryotic large subunit ribosomal RNA", at positions 103 to 1230 of the family's 3401-position model. The record is from RNAcentral. Lineage: Eukaryota; Metazoa; Platyhelminthes; Trematoda; Plagiorchiida; Gorgoderidae.
AUUAGCCCAGCACCGAAGCCUCUGGUCAUUUGAUCAUCAGGCAAUGUGGUGUUCGGGUCGGUCCGCAGAGACACUGCUCCACUCUGAGUCCAGCAAUGAGUAUGGUAGCUUGGACAUGGCCCAUUGAGGGUGAAAGGCCCGUAAGAGUGGAGUGCAGGCGGGACAGUAUCUCUCUGGAUUGACCUCAGAGUCGGGUUGUUUGUGAAUGCAGCCCAAAGUGGGUGGUAAACUCCAUCCAAGGCUAAAUACAAGCACGAGUCCGAUAGCAAACAAGUACCGUGAGGGAAAGUUGAAAAGUACUUUGAAGAGAGAGUAAACAGUGCGUGAAACCGCUCAGAGGUAAACGGGUGGAGUUGAACUGCAUGCUCCGUGAAUUCAGCUAGUGAGAUUGUCGUGGGGCUUGGUCAAGUGGGGUAGACACUGAGGUAUGCUUAGCUGCAUGUUCCGGCCUUCAGGUUGGAAUGCGUGCUGCGCUUAUCACGCGUUGCGCGCCUCUGUUGUUUAUCUGCCCUCUCGCUAGUGCAUUUUCACGGGGUGAUCACCAAGAUCGGCGUUGCUGUCCGGCUGCUUCAGUUAAACCGGUCUUACGCGUCAUUAUGGCGUUGUUUGGUCGGGACGGCAGGUAGCCUGUUAGCUUGUUCCUCUUGCUCUCAGGUGUAAUCAGCUGACUAAGGCGGUACUGUGCGGCGCGUCGGAGCUGGCGGCCAGUUGUGCAUGCCCGCGUGUCAUGCCUUCCGAGGGAUUCUGUUUCGAUCGCUAUGUUGCCUGUCUCGGCAGGUCUAGCGGUAGACAGGGUUCUAUUGGUUGGUGGUUCCGUGGGUAGCACAUUGAAUGGGCCAAAAGUCUUUGGUGUCGUGGUAGACCAUCCACCUGACCCGUCUUGAAACACGGACCAAGGAGAGUAACAUGUGCGCGAGUCAUUGGGCGUAACGAAACCCAAAGGCGCAGUGAAAGUAAAGGUCCGACUUGUUCGGUCUGAGGUGAGAUCCUGUUGUUUCUCAUGCGUGGUACCACCAAGCUUGGAGCGACAGGCGCAUCACCGGCCCGUCCCAUGAUGUAGACACGGUCUUUUGUACUCGUGCACCGUCGGGGCGGAGCAUGAGCGCACACGUUGAGACCCGAAAGAUGGUGAACUAUGCUUGCGCAGGUUGAAGCCAGAGGAAACUCUGGUGGAGGACCGCAGCGAUUCUGACGUGCAAAUCGAUCGUCAAACGUGAGUAUAGGGGCGAAAGACUAAUCGAACCAUCUAGUAGCUGGUUCCCUCCGAAGUUUCCCUCCGGAUAGCUGGCAUUCGGAGAUAUAAACAGUUUUAUCCGGUAAAGCGAAUGAUUAGAGGUAUUGGGGACGAAACGUGCUCAACCUAUUCUCAAACUUUAAAUGGGUGAGAAGCCGAACUCGCCCAAGCGGAGUUCGGCGUUGAAUGUGAGUGCCAAGUGGGCCAUUUUUGGUAAGCAGAACUGGCGCUGUGGGAUGAACCAGACGUUCGGUUAAGGUGCCAAACACGACGCAUAUCAGAUACCACAAAAGGUGUUGGUUG